Molecule: non-coding RNA, 108 nt
Filed under: Aureimonas sp. AU20
Lineage: Bacteria; Pseudomonadati; Pseudomonadota; Alphaproteobacteria; Hyphomicrobiales; Aurantimonadaceae
Also listed under: 1 other name
Description: SAM-I/IV (S-adenosyl methionine) riboswitch aptamer
Rfam family: SAM-I/IV (S-adenosyl methionine) riboswitch aptamer
About the family: It is found upstream of a number of genes which code for proteins involved in methionine or cysteine biosynthesis. It has been found mostly in the order Actinomycetales.
Source: Rfam by way of RNAcentral
GCUCCGCAUCAAGAGUUGGGGCGACGCCCGACGCCAACCUGCCGAUCCGGGCAAGGUGGCACUCCCGCAAGGGAGGAUGUGGCCGAUCCGGCAAUCCCACGGACCUCA